RNAcentral lists this ribosomal RNA (430 nucleotides) under bacterium. RNAcentral describes it as "partial 16S ribosomal RNA". It matches the Rfam family "Bacterial small subunit ribosomal RNA", at positions 355 to 776 of the family's 1533-position model. The record is from RNAcentral.
UGGGGAAUAUUGGACAAUGGGCGCAAGCCUGAUCCAGCCAUGCCGCGUGUGUGAAGAAGGCCUUUUGGUUGUAAAGCACUUUAAGCGAGGAGGAGGCUACUUGGAUUAAUACUCUAGGAUAGUGGACGUUACUCGCAGAAUAAGCACCGGCUAACUCUGUGCCAGCAGCCGCGGUAAUACAGAGGGUGCGAGCGUUAAUCGGAUUUACUGGGCGUAAAGCGUGCGUAGGCGGCUUCUUAAGUCGGAUGUGAAAUCCCUGAGCUUAACUUAGGAAUUGCAUUCGAUACUGGUAAGCUAGAGUAUGGGAGAGGAUGGUAGAAUUCCAGGUGUAGCGGUGAAAUGCGUAGAGAUCUGGAGGAAUACCGAUGGCGAAGGCAGCCAUCUGGCCUAAUACUGACGCUGAGGUACGAAAGCAUGGGGAGCAAACAGG